This 403-nucleotide ribosomal RNA is filed under the name bacterium. RNAcentral describes it as "partial 16S ribosomal RNA". It matches the Rfam family "Bacterial small subunit ribosomal RNA", at positions 355 to 776 of the family's 1533-position model. The record is from RNAcentral. RNAcentral also lists the same sequence under 2 other names.
UGGGGAAUAUUGCACAAUGGAGGGAACUCUGAUGCAGCGACGCCGCGUGAGCGAAGAAGGCUUUCGAGUCGUAAAGUUCUUUUAUAUGGGAAGAUAAUGACGGUACCAUAAGAAAAAGCCCCGGCUAACUACGUGCCAGCAGCCGCGGUAAUACGUAGGGGGCUAGCGUUGUCCGGAAUCACUGGGCGUAAAGGGUUCGCAGGCGGAAAUGCAAGUCAGGUGUAAAAGGCAGUAGCUUAACUACUGUAAGCAUUUGAAACUGCAUAUCUUGAGAAGAGUAGAGGUAAGUGGAAUUUUUAGUGUAGCGGUGAAAUGCGUAGAUAUUAAAAAGAAUACCGGUGGCGAAGGCGACUUACUGGGCUCAUUCUGACGCUGAGGAACGAAAGCGUGGGUAGCAAACAGG